UACGAAGGGGGCUAGCGUUGCUCGGAAUCACUGGGCGUAAAGGGCGCGUAGGUGGCUUCUCAAGCGUGCGGUGAAAGCCUGGGGCUCAACCCCGGGUCGGCCGUGCGAACUGGGGGGCUGGAGCACUGUAGAGGCAGGCGGAAUUCCGGGUGUAGCGGUGGAAUGCGUAGAGAUCCGGAAGAACACCGGUGGCGAAGGCGGCCUGCUGGGCAGUUGCUGACACUGAGGCGCGACAGCGUGGGGAGCAAACAGGG
RNAcentral lists this ribosomal RNA (254 nucleotides) under uncultured bacterium. RNAcentral's name for it is "partial 16S ribosomal RNA". It matches the Rfam family "Bacterial small subunit ribosomal RNA", at positions 524 to 777 of the family's 1533-position model. The record is from RNAcentral.